UACGGAGGAUGCGAGCGUUAUCCGGAUUUAUUGGGCGUAAAGCGAGCGCAGGUGGUUUAUUAAGUCUGGUGUAAAAGGCAGUGGCUCAACCAUUGUAUGCAUUGGAAACUGGUAGACUUGAGUGCAGGAGAGGAGAGUGGAAUUCCGUGUGUAGCGGUGAAAUGCGUAGAUAUAUGGAGGAACACCGGUGGCGAAAGCGGCUCUCUGGCCUGUAACUGACACUGAGGCUCGAAAGCGUGGGGAGCAAACAGG
This 252-nucleotide ribosomal RNA is filed under the name uncultured bacterium. RNAcentral's name for it is "partial 16S ribosomal RNA". It matches the Rfam family "Bacterial small subunit ribosomal RNA", at positions 524 to 776 of the family's 1533-position model. The record is from RNAcentral.